AAUCCGUGUUGUGGGCAUUGGUGGAGUAAACCCUUAUAUCAUUCCCAAGCCUCUAAAUAGCAUUCUGAGUCCAAUUGUUGGGAAAUGGUAUCUCAUCCCUUAGUUU
RNAcentral lists this small nucleolar RNA (106 nucleotides) under Olea europaea subsp. europaea. RNAcentral's name for it is "Plant small nucleolar RNA R71". It matches the Rfam family "Plant small nucleolar RNA R71". Rfam says of the family: R71 is a member of the C/D box family of snoRNAs containing the C (UGAUGA) and D (CUGA) box motifs. Lineage: Eukaryota; Viridiplantae; Streptophyta; Magnoliopsida; Lamiales; Oleaceae. The record is from Rfam by way of RNAcentral.